AAUGGGCGCAAGCCUGAUCCAGCCAUGCCGCGUGAGUGAUGAAGGCCUUAGGGUUGUAAAGCUCUUUCGUCAGGGAAGAUAAUGACGGUACCUGAAGAAGAAGCCCCGGCUAACUUCGUGCCAGCAGCCGCGGUAAUACGAAGGGGGCUAGCGUUGCUCGGAAUCACUGGGCGUAAAGCGCACGUAGGCGGCUUUCUAAGUCAGAGGUGAAAUCCCGGGGCUCAACCCCGGAACUGCCUUUGAUACUGGAGAGCUUGAGUUCGGGAGAGGUGAGUGGAACUGCGAGUGUAGAGGUGAAAUUCGUAGAUAUUCGCAAGAACACCAGUGGCGAAGGCGGCUCACUGGCCCGAUACUGACGCUGAGGUGCGAAAGCGUGGGGAGCAAA
RNAcentral lists this ribosomal RNA (385 nucleotides) under uncultured bacterium. RNAcentral describes it as "bacterial SSU rRNA". It matches the Rfam family "Bacterial small subunit ribosomal RNA", at positions 370 to 772 of the family's 1533-position model. The record is from RNAcentral.